This 2643-nucleotide ribosomal RNA is filed under the name Klebsiella aerogenes. Its description in RNAcentral is "bacterial LSU rRNA". It matches the Rfam family "Bacterial large subunit ribosomal RNA". The record is from RNAcentral. RNAcentral also lists the same sequence under 1 other name. Lineage: Bacteria; Pseudomonadati; Pseudomonadota; Gammaproteobacteria; Enterobacterales; Enterobacteriaceae.
ACUAUCGUUAACUGAAUACAUAGGUUAACGAGGCGAACCGGGGGAACUGAAACAUCUAAGUACCCCGAGGAAAAGAAAUCAACCGAGAUUCCCCCAGUAGCGGCGAGCGAACGGGGAGCAGCCCGGAGUCUGAAUCAGCUUGUGUGUUAGUGGAACGGUCUGGAAAGUCCGACGGUACAGGGUGAUAGUCCCGUACACGAAAGCACACUUGCUGUGAACUCGAAGAGUAGGGCGGGACACGUGGUAUCCUGUCUGAAUAUGGGGGGACCAUCCUCCAAGGCUAAAUACUCCUGACUGACCGAUAGUGAACCAGUACCGUGAGGGAAAGGCGAAAAGAACCCCGGCGAGGGGAGUGAAAAAGAACCUGAAACCGUGUACGUACAAGCAGUGGGAGCACCUUCGUGGUGUGACUGCGUACCUUUUGUAUAAUGGGUCAGCGACUUAUAUUCUGUAGCAAGGUUAACCGUAUAGGGGAGCCGAAGGGAAACCGAGUCUUAACUGGGCGUUAAGUUGCAGGGUAUAGACCCGAAACCCGGUGAUCUAGCCAUGGGCAGGUUGAAGGUUGGGUAACACUAACUGGAGGACCGAACCGACUAAUGUUGAAAAAUUAGCGGAUGACCUGUGGCUGGGGGUGAAAGGCCAAUCAAACCGGGAGAUAGCUGGUUCUCCCCGAAAGCUAUUUAGGUAGCGCCUCGUGAACUCAUCUUCGGGGGUAGAGCACUGUUUCGGCUAGGGGGCCAUCCCGGCUUACCAACCCGAUGCAAACUACGAAUACCGAAGAAUGUUAUCACGGGAGACACACGGCGGGUGCUAACGUCCGUCGUGAAGAGGGAAACAACCCAGACCGCCAGCUAAGGUCCCAAAGUCAUGGUUAAGUGGGAAACGAUGUGGGAAGGCACAGACAGCCAGGAUGUUGGCUUAGAAGCAGCCAUCAUUUAAAGAAAGCGUAAUAGCUCACUGGUCGAGUCGGCCUGCGCGGAAGAUGUAACGGGGCUAAACCAUGCACCGAAGCUGCGGCAGCGACACUAUGUGUUGUUGGGUAGGGGAGCGUUCUGUAAGCCGUUGAAGGUGUGCUGUGAGGCAUGCUGGAGGUAUCAGAAGUGCGAAUGCUGACAUAAGUAACGAUAAAGCGGGUGAAAAGCCCGCUCGCCGGAAGACCAAGGGUUCCUGUCCAACGUUAAUCGGGGCAGGGUGAGUCGACCCCUAAGGCGAGGCCGAAAGGCGUAGUCGAUGGGAAACAGGUUAAUAUUCCUGUACUUGGUGUUACUGCGAAGGGGGGACGGAGAAGGCUAUGUCAGCCGGGCGACGGUUGUCCCGGUUUAAGCAUGUAGGCGGAGGUUCCAGGUAAAUCCGGUACCUUAUUAACGCUGAGGUGUGAUGACGAGGCACUACGGUGCUGAAGUGAUAAAUGCCCUGCUUCCAGGAAAAGCCUCUAAGCAUCAGGUAACACGAAAUCGUACCCCAAACCGACACAGGUGGUCAGGUAGAGAAUACCAAGGCGCUUGAGAGAACUCGGGUGAAGGAACUAGGCAAAAUGGUGCCGUAACUUCGGGAGAAGGCACGCUGAUGUGUAGGUGAAGUCCCUGCGGACGGAGCUGAAAUCAGUCGAAGAUACCAGCUGGCUGCAACUGUUUAUUAAAAACACAGCACUGUGCAAACACGAAAGUGGACGUAUACGGUGUGACGCCUGCCCGGUGCCGGAAGGUUAAUUGAUGGGGUUAGCUGUAAGGCGAAGCUCUUGAUCGAAGCCCCGGUAAACGGCGGCCGUAACUAUAACGGUCCUAAGGUAGCGAAAUUCCUUGUCGGGUAAGUUCCGACCUGCACGAAUGGCGUAAUGAUGGCCAGGCUGUCUCCACCCGAGACUCAGUGAAAUUGAACUCGCUGUGAAGAUGCAGUGUACCCGCGGCAAGACGGAAAGACCCCGUGAACCUUUACUAUAGCUUGACACUGAACACUGGUCCUUGAUGUGUAGGAUAGGUGGGAGGCUUUGAAGCGUGGACGCCAGUCUGCGUGGAGCCGUCCUUGAAAUACCACCCUUUAAUGGCUGGUGUUCUAACGUAGACCCGUAAUCCGGGUUGCGGACAGUGUCUGGUGGGUAGUUUGACUGGGGCGGUCUCCUCCCAAAGAGUAACGGAGGAGCACGAAGGUUGGCUAAUCCUGGUCGGACAUCAGGAGGUUAGUGCAAUGGCAUAAGCCAGCUUGACUGCGAGCGUGACGGCGCGAGCAGGUGCGAAAGCAGGUCAUAGUGAUCCGGUGGUUCUGAAUGGAAGGGCCAUCGCUCAACGGAUAAAAGGUACUCCGGGGAUAACAGGCUGAUACCGCCCAAGAGUUCAUAUCGACGGCGGUGUUUGGCACCUCGAUGUCGGCUCAUCACAUCCUGGGGCUGAAGUAGGUCCCAAGGGUAUGGCUGUUCGCCAUUUAAAGUGGUACGCGAGCUGGGUUUAGAACGUCGUGAGACAGUUCGGUCCCUAUCUGCCGUGGGCGCUGGAGAAUUGAGGGGGGCUGCUCCUAGUACGAGAGGACCGGAGUGGACGCAUCACUGGUGUUCGGGUUGUCAUGCCAAUGGCACUGCCCGGUAGCUAAAUGCGGAAGAGAUAAGUGCUGAAAGCAUCUAAGCACGAAACUUGCCCCGAGAUGAGUUCU